CCAUCCCAGUUCGGAUCGCAGGCUGCAACCCGCCUGCGUGAAGUUGGAAUCGCUAGUAAUCGCGGAUCAGCAUGCCGCGGUGAAUACGUUCCCGGGCCUUGUACACACCGCCCGUCACACCAUGAGAGUCGGGAACACCCGAAGUCCGUAGCCUAACCGCAAGGGGGGCGCGGCCGAAGGUGGGUUCGAUAAUUGGGGUGAAGUCGUAACAAGGUAAC
Molecule: ribosomal RNA, 218 nt
Filed under: uncultured bacterium
Lineage: Bacteria
Description: partial 16S ribosomal RNA
Rfam family: Bacterial small subunit ribosomal RNA
Source: RNAcentral